UCUCCAAAUUUAAACAUAAGAACUUAGACAACAACAACAACAAAAUGCUGACCAACGAAUGGAAUGACAUUUUGUUGUGCUUAGUUAUGAAAUCUAAUUUUAUGUAACAAAAAGCAAGAGGUAUAUUUAUUUUUUGGCAUUUAUUUAGAAUAGAACUUCAUCCUGCAAAGCAAAUCCGAUUAUGGUGGCUUAAGUGGUUAAGGAUCUGAGUUGUUGGUUAGAGAAUCAUCAUUGUUCAACCCACUGCACUGCCAAGCUGCCAAAGUUGGGCCCUUGAGUGAGGCCCUUAACUCUCUCUGCUCCAGGGGUGCUGUAUCAUGGCUGACCCCAAGCCCAAAGUUAGGAUAUAAAUGGACGUUUACUUCUCACUUCUCUGGUCUUCAAAUCUCUUCUAAAAUCCAGAAUAAAAAACUUUCACCUUCUGCUUUCGGAAAGUCCUGGUCUGAACAGGUCAACCUUCCCAAUUACGUGGCUUUGGCUUUCCCAAGGUGCCGGGAUUGAUAAGCGUAUCUGUAGGAAAAGCUGAAAGAAUUGUUCAUUCACACAGCCUCGACCCCUGACCCACGUUACGUGAACGCUCCAAAGUCGUGCGCAGUCGUGCGAAUCUUAAGAUCUGCAAAGCUCAGCACUGUUUUACACAGGAAAUGGAAAUGAAACUCCGUCUGACUUUUCAAAGUCCCGAGGGUCUAAUCAAUCAUCACUUUAAUGUUUGGCAUUCGGAAAGGAAGAAGGGAGGAGAAAAAAAAAUAGGAAAACUGUCAGAAUGAGCAGGGAAGGUAGUGAACACUCACGCUUCGUGUCAAUAAAGUCAAUGAGGACAUAACACAAUGACUUGAAUGAUGAUAGAAAAGCCCAGACCACACCACACGUUUCGGGAAAAAAAUUCUUUUUUUUCUUUUUUUUUUUCUUUUUAGUCUGGGAAAUUGAAUCGUUUUUUUGUAAGAACCUUCUAAAAUGGAGAAAUGAUUCAAACAAUAAACUCCAUCUUAACAUCGUUUUCAAAACUCGGACAUCACGGCAUCAAUUUGCAUGUACGCUUUGGGCCUUACAGGAAUUCCUCGAGUAAUAAUUAAGACAUUAUUUUGUCAAUGUUCUGUUUGUUGUGGUUGUUGUUCAUUUUGCUUUGUAUGCAUUUGUACUGUUUGUUGUAGUUAUUCUUCAUUUUGUUUGUUUUUUUUCUUUCUGGAUCUGUUUGUCAGCUUUAUUGUUCUAGAUUAUUGUUGUUAACAUACAUCUGCAUUUAUUUGUUUGUUUGUUUGUUUGUUUGUUUGUAGCCUUAAUUGUGAUGUCUAUCAUUUUGUUUGUCAUGUUUAUUCCUCUGUUUGUUUGACAUUUUUUAUUGUUUGUUAUGUGUAUUAUUGUUUGUUGUGCUAUUCUACUUGGUGUUGCUAUUUUUUGUUUUGUUUCAUUGUAAGAUUAAUUCUGUCAUGCUAACUGAUCUGUUUUAUUUUUGUUUAUCAUGUUUAAAUAAAAUUUCGUUUUGUUCUGUUUAUUUUUA
Tachysurus fulvidraco (yellow catfish) is the source of this 1498-nucleotide long non-coding RNA. RefSeq lists it as uncharacterized. The record is from RefSeq and is a predicted model, not a curated record. The transcript has 2 exons. NCBI's taxonomy places the organism in Eukaryota, Metazoa, Chordata, Actinopteri, Siluriformes, Bagridae.